This 432-nucleotide ribosomal RNA is filed under the name Bacillus subtilis. Its description in RNAcentral is "bacterial SSU rRNA". It matches the Rfam family "Bacterial small subunit ribosomal RNA", at positions 371 to 794 of the family's 1533-position model. Lineage: Bacteria; Bacillati; Bacillota; Bacilli; Caryophanales; Bacillaceae. The record is from RNAcentral.
AUGGACGAAAGUCUGACGGAGCAACGCCGCGUGAGUGAUGAAGGUUUUCGGAUCGUAAAGCUCUGUUGUUAGGGAAGAACAAGUACCGUUCGAAUAGGGCGGUACCUUGACGGUACCUAACCAGAAAGCCACGGCUAACUACGUGCCAGCAGCCGCGGUAAUACGUAGGUGGCAAGCGUUGUCCGGAAUUAUUGGGCGUAAAGGGCUCGCAGGCGGUUUCUUAAGUCUGAUGUGAAAGCCCCCGGCUCAACCGGGGAGGGUCAUUGGAAACUGGGGAACUUGAGUGCAGAAGAGGAGAGUGGAAUUCCACGUGUAGCGGUGAAAUGCGUAGAGAUGUGGAGGAACACCAGUGGCGAAGGCGACUCUCUGGUCUGUAACUGACGCUGAGGAGCGAAAGCGUGGGGAGCGAACAGGAUUAGAUACCCUGGUAGU